This 1540-nucleotide ribosomal RNA is filed under the name Staphylococcus aureus. RNAcentral describes it as "16S ribosomal RNA". It matches the Rfam family "Bacterial small subunit ribosomal RNA". The record is from RNAcentral. Lineage: Bacteria; Bacillati; Bacillota; Bacilli; Caryophanales; Staphylococcaceae.
AGAGUUUGAUCCUGGCUCAGGAUGAACGCUGGCGGCGUGCCUAAUACAUGCAAGUCGAGCGAACGGACGAGAAGCUUGCUUCUCUGAUGUUAGCGGCGGACGGGUGAGUAACACGUGGAUAACCUACCUAUAAGACUGGGAUAACUUCGGGAAACCGGAGCUAAUACCGGAUAAUAUUUUGAACCGCAUGGUUCAAAAGUGAAAGACGGUCUUGCUGUCACUUAUAGAUGGAUCCGCGCUGCAUUAGCUAGUUGGUAAGGUAACGGCUUACCAAGGCAACGAUGCAUAGCCGACCUGAGAGGGUGAUCGGCCACACUGGAACUGAGACACGGUCCAGACUCCUACGGGAGGCAGCAGUAGGGAAUCUUCCGCAAUGGGCGAAAGCCUGACGGAGCAACGCCGCGUGAGUGAUGAAGGUCUUCGGAUCGUAAAACUCUGUUAUUAGGGAAGAACAUAUGUGUAAGUAACUGUGCACAUCUUGACGGUACCUAAUCAGAAAGCCACGGCUAACUACGUGCCAGCAGCCGCGGUAAUACGUAGGUGGCAAGCGUUAUCCGGAAUUAUUGGGCGUAAAGCGCGCGUAGGCGGUUUUUUAAGUCUGAUGUGAAAGCCCACGGCUCAACCGUGGAGGGUCAUUGGAAACUGGAAAACUUGAGUGCAGAAGAGGAAAGUGGAAUUCCAUGUGUAGCGGUGAAAUGCGCAGAGAUAUGGAGGAACACCAGUGGCGAAGGCGACUUUCUGGUCUGUAACUGACGCUGAUGUGCGAAAGCGUGGGGAUCAAACAGGAUUAGAUACCCUGGUAGUCCACGCCGUAAACGAUGAGUGCUAAGUGUUAGGGGGUUUCCGCCCCUUAGUGCUGCAGCUAACGCAUUAAGCACUCCGCCUGGGGAGUACGACCGCAAGGUUGAAACUCAAAGGAAUUGACGGGGACCCGCACAAGCGGUGGAGCAUGUGGUUUAAUUCGAAGCAACGCGAAGAACCUUACCAAAUCUUGACAUCCUUUGACAACUCUAGAGAUAGAGCCUUCCCCUUCGGGGGACAAAGUGACAGGUGGUGCAUGGUUGUCGUCAGCUCGUGUCGUGAGAUGUUGGGUUAAGUCCCGCAACGAGCGCAACCCUUAAGCUUAGUUGCCAUCAUUAAGUUGGGCACUCUAAGUUGACUGCCGGUGACAAACCGGAGGAAGGUGGGGAUGACGUCAAAUCAUCAUGCCCCUUAUGAUUUGGGCUACACACGUGCUACAAUGGACAAUACAAAGGGCAGCGAAACCGCGAGGUCAAGCAAAUCCCAUAAAGUUGUUCUCAGUUCGGAUUGUAGUCUGCAACUCGACUACAUAAAGCUGGAAUCGCUAGUAAUCGUAGAUCAGCAUGCUACGGUGAAUACGUUCCCGGGUCUUGUACACACCGCCCGUCACACCACGAGAGUUUGUAACACCCGAAGCCGGUGGAGUAACCUUUUAGGAGCUAGCCGUCGAAGGUGGGACAAAUGAUUGGGGUGAAGUCGUAACAAGGUAGCCGUAUCGGAAGGUGCGGCUGGAUCACCU